GCCUUCUGUUUCCAUUCGGGCCUUCAGGCCUUCAACAGAUUGGAUGAUGCUCAUUCAUGCUGAGGAGAGCCAUCUGCUUUCAUCUGGCGUCAGCACCUAUUCCAAUGCUUAUCUCAUCUUCGGAUGUAAAUCAUCUCCUGCAUUCUGGAGCAGAGAGGCACGGAGAAAAAAAACCAAGGACAGAAAGCAGGCCUCCUUGUCACAUGGUUUUGGUGUCAUUUUCCUCAUGCUGAUGACUUAUCGCUUGCCAAGUUCCAGUUUUUAUCUGAUCAUCUUUGCAUCAAUAAUACAUGAAGCUGAGAUCUUCUGAAAAGAGGAUACUUCCUACCCCCACCCCCCACUCCCCCGGCCUCACUGAAUGCUUUGCUUUUGCCAGCAAAAACUUUGAUUUGGAUUUAAUAAUCCGUAGUCCUUUUGGUUUGAUCACACUUCGCAGGAAACCCCAAAAAGAGCCAUGUGGCCACAUCUCCACCGACGUGG
RNAcentral lists this long non-coding RNA (480 nucleotides) under Vulpes vulpes (red fox). RNAcentral describes it as "lncRNA (ENSVVUG00000018726.1)". Lineage: Eukaryota; Metazoa; Chordata; Mammalia; Carnivora; Canidae. The record is from RNAcentral.